Molecule: ribosomal RNA, 533 nt
Filed under: uncultured bacterium
Lineage: Bacteria
Description: bacterial SSU rRNA
Rfam family: Bacterial small subunit ribosomal RNA
Source: RNAcentral
GCAAGUCGAGCGGCAGCACAGAGAAACUUGUUUCUCGGGUGGCGAGCGGCCGUCAGGUGACUAAUGCCUGGGAAAUUGCCCUGAUGUGGGGCAUAACCAUUGGAAACGAUGGCUAAUACCGCAUUAUGCCUACGGGCCAAAGAGGGGGACCUUCGGGCCUCUCGCGUCAGGAUAUGCCCAGGUGGGAUUAGCUAGUUGGUGAGGUAAGGGCUCACCAAGGCGACGAUCCCUAGCUGGUCUGAGAGGAUGAUCAGCCACACUGGAACUGAGACACGGUCCAGACUCCUACGGGAGGCAGCAGUGGGGAAUAUUGCACAAUGGGCGCAAGCCUGAUGCAGCCAUGCCGCGUGUGUGAAGAAGGCCUUCGGGUUGUAAAGCACUUUCAGUAGGGAGGAAGGUGGUAGUGUUAAUAGCGCUAUCAUUUGACGUUACCUACAGAAGAAGCACCGGCUAACUCCGUGCCAGCAGCCGCGGUAAUACGGAGGGUGCGAGCGUUAAUCGGAAUUACUGGGCGUAAAGUGCAUGCAGGUGGU